Non-coding RNA from Triticum aestivum (bread wheat), 115 nucleotides. NCBI's taxonomy places the organism in Eukaryota, Viridiplantae, Streptophyta, Magnoliopsida, Poales, Poaceae. The record is from Rfam.
GUUGUACUCCCUCCGUUCGGAAUUACUUGUCGCAGAAAUGGAUGUACCUAGACAUAUUUUAUUUCUAGAUACAUCCAUUUUCGAGACAAGUAAUUCCGAACGGAGGGAGUAGUUA